CGUAGGUAACCUGCCUGGUAGCGGGGGAUAACUAUUGGAAACGAUAGCUAAUACCGCAUAAGAGUAGAUGUUGCAUGACAUUUGCUUAAAAGGUGCAAUUGCAUCACUACCAGAUGGACCUGCGUUGUAUUAGCUAGUUGGUGGGGUAACGGCUCACCAAGGCGGCGAUACAUAGCCGACCUGAGAGGGUGAUCGGCCACACUGGGACUGAGACACGGCCCAG
This 223-nucleotide ribosomal RNA is filed under the name uncultured bacterium. Its description in RNAcentral is "partial 16S ribosomal RNA". It matches the Rfam family "Bacterial small subunit ribosomal RNA", at positions 116 to 334 of the family's 1533-position model. The record is from RNAcentral.